AACGAACGCUGGCGGCAGGCCUAACACAUGCAAGUCGAGCGAGAUCUUCGGGUCUAGCGGCGGACGGGUGAGUAACGCGUGGGAAUAUGCCCUUCUCUGCGGAAUAGCCUCGGGAAACUGAGCGUAAUACCGCAUACGCCCUUUGGGGGAAAGAUUUAUCGGAGAAGGAUUAGCCCGCGUUGGAUCAGGUAGUUGGUGGGGUAACGGCCUACCAAGCCGACGAUCCAUAGCUGGUUUGAGAGGAUGAUCAGCCACACUGGGACUGAGACACGGCCCAGACUCCUACGGGAGGCAGCAGUGGGGAAUCUUAGACAAUGGGGGCAACCCUGAUCUAGCCAUGCCGCGUGAGUGAUGAAGGCCUUAGGGUUGUAAAGCUCUUUCAGCUGGGAAGAUAAUGACGGUACCAGCAGAAGAAGCCCCGGCUAACUCCGUG
Molecule: ribosomal RNA, 433 nt
Filed under: uncultured bacterium
Lineage: Bacteria
Description: partial 16S ribosomal RNA
Rfam family: Bacterial small subunit ribosomal RNA
Source: RNAcentral